GGGGAAUAUUGCACAAUGGGGGACACCCUGAUGCAGCGACGCCGCGUGAAGGAAGAAGUAUCUCGGUAUGUAAACUUCUAUCAGCAGGGAAGAAAAUGACGGUACCUGACUAAGAAGCCCCGGCUAACUACGUGCCAGCAGCCGCGGUAAUACGUAGGGGGCAAGCGUUAUCCGGAUUUACUGGGUGUAAAGGGAGCGUAGACGGAUGGACAAGUCUGAUGUGAAAGGCUGGGGCUCAACCCCGGGACUGCAUUGGAAACUGCCCGUCUUGAGUGCCGGAGAGGUAAGCGGAAUUCCUAGUGUAGCGGUGAAAUGCGUAGAUAUUAGGAGGAACACCAGUGGCGAAGGCGGCUUACUGGACGGUAACUGACGUUGAGGCUCGAAAGCGUGGGGAGCAAACAGGAUUAGAUACCCUGGUAGUCCACGCGGUAAACGAUGAAUGUUAGGUGUCGGGGAGC
This 458-nucleotide ribosomal RNA is filed under the name uncultured bacterium. RNAcentral describes it as "bacterial SSU rRNA". It matches the Rfam family "Bacterial small subunit ribosomal RNA", at positions 356 to 831 of the family's 1533-position model. The record is from RNAcentral.